This 721-nucleotide ribosomal RNA is filed under the name Lacticaseibacillus paracasei. Its description in RNAcentral is "bacterial SSU rRNA". It matches the Rfam family "Bacterial small subunit ribosomal RNA", at positions 371 to 1083 of the family's 1533-position model. The record is from RNAcentral. Lineage: Bacteria; Bacillati; Bacillota; Bacilli; Lactobacillales; Lactobacillaceae.
AUGGACGCAAGUCUGAUGGAGCAACGCCGCGUGAGUGAAGAAGGCUUUCGGGUCGUAAAACUCUGUUGUUGGAGAAGAAUGGUCGGCAGAGUAACUGUUGCCGGCGUGACGGUAUCCAACCAGAAAGCCACGGCUAACUACGUGCCAGCAGCCGCGGUAAUACGUAGGUGGCAAGCGUUAUCCGGAUUUAUUGGGCGUAAAGCGAGCGCAGGCGGUUUUUUAAGUCUGAUGUGAAAGCCCUCGGCUUAACCGAGGAAGCGCAUCGGAAACUGGGAAACUUGAGUGCAGAAGAGGACAGUGGAACUCCAUGUGUAGCGGUGAAAUGCGUAGAUAUAUGGAAGAACACCAGUGGCGAAGGCGGCUGUCUGGUCUGUAACUGACGCUGAGGCUCGAAAGCAUGGGUAGCGAACAGGAUUAGAUACCCUGGUAGUCCAUGCCGUAAACGAUGAAUGCUAGGUGUUGGAGGGUUUCCGCCCUUCAGUGCCGCAGCUAACGCAUUAAGCAUUCCGCCUGGGGAGUACGACCGCAAGGUUGAAACUCAAAGGAAUUGACGGGGGCCCGCACAAGCGGUGGAGCAUGUGGUUUAAUUCGAAGCAACGCGAAGAACCUUACCAGGUCUUGACAUCUUUUGAUCACCUGAGAGAUCAGGUUUCCCCUUCGGGGGCAAAAUGACAGGUGGUGCAUGGUUGUCGUCAGCUCGUGUCGUGAGAUGUUGGGUUAA